GCAAGUCGAACGAACUCUUCGGAGUUAGUGGCGGACGGGUGAGUAACGCGUGGGAAUAUGCCCUUUGGUACGGAACAACAGUUGGAAACGACUGCUAAUACCGUAUGUGCCCUACGGGGGAAAGAUUUAUCGCCAAAGGAUUAGCCCGCGUUGGAUUAGGUAGUUGGUGAGGUAACGGCUCACCAAGCCGACGAUCCAUAGCUGGUUUGAGAGGAUGACC
This 220-nucleotide ribosomal RNA is filed under the name uncultured bacterium. RNAcentral's name for it is "partial 16S ribosomal RNA". It matches the Rfam family "Bacterial small subunit ribosomal RNA", at positions 57 to 305 of the family's 1533-position model. The record is from RNAcentral.